This 400-nucleotide ribosomal RNA is filed under the name uncultured bacterium. Its description in RNAcentral is "bacterial SSU rRNA". It matches the Rfam family "Bacterial small subunit ribosomal RNA", at positions 355 to 747 of the family's 1533-position model. The record is from RNAcentral.
UGAGGAAUAUUGCGCAAUGGGCGAAAGCCUGACGCAGCGACACCGCGUGGAGGAUGAAGGUCUUAGGAUUGUAAACUUCUGUUAAGUGGGAAGAAAGACUUGCGAGUAAUAUGCGCAGGGGAUGACGGUACCACUAGAGAAAGCACUGGCUAAUCUCGUGCCAGCAGCCGCGGUAAUACGAGAGGUGCAAGCGUUAUUCGGAUUUAUUGGGCGUAAAGGGUGCGUAGGCGGCAUGUUAAGUCUGUUGUUAAAUUUCCCGGCCUAACUGGGAAUCGGCGGCAGAUACUGAUGUGCUAGAGGGUGGAAGAGAGAAGUGGAAUUCUUGGAGUAGCGGUAAAAUGCGUAGAUCUCAAGAGGAACACCGAUGGCGAAGGCAGCUUCUUGGUCCAUUUCUGACGCU